GAGUUUGAUCCUGGCUCAGGAUGAACGCUAGCGGCAGGCUUAACACAUGCAAGUCGAGGGGUAACAGAGAAAAGCUUGCUUUUUUGCUGACGACCGGCGCACGGGUGCGUAACGCGUAUGCAAUCUACCUUUUGCUAAGGGAUAGCCCAGAGAAAUUUGGAUUAAUACCUUAUAGUAUGAUGACUUGGCUUCAAGAUAUCAUUAAAGGUUACGGCAAAAGAUGAGCAUGCGUUCUAUUAGCUAGUUGGUGUGGUAACGGCAUACCAAGGCAACGAUAGAUAGGGGUCCUGAGAGGGAGAUCCCCCACACUGGUACUGAGACACGGACCAGACUCCUACGGGAGGCAGCAGUGAGGAAUAUUGGACAAUGGAGGCAACUCUGAUCCAGCCAUGCCGCGUGCAGGAAGACUGCCCUAUGGGUUGUAAACUGCUUUUAUACAGGAAGAAACACCUCUACGUGUAGAGAUUUGACGGUACUGUAAGAAUAAGGAUCGGCUAACUCCGUGCCAGCAGCCGCGGUAAUACGGAGGAUCCAAGCGUUAUCCGGAAUCAUUGGGUUUAAAGGGUCCGUAGGUGGAUAAUUAAGUCAGAGGUGAAAUCCUGCAGCUUAACUGUAGAAUUGCCUUUGAUACUGGUUGUCUUGAGUUGUUAUGAAGUGGUUAGAAUAUGUAGUGUAGCGGUGAAAUGCAUAGAUAUUACAUAGAAUACCAAUUGCGAAGGCAGAUCACUAAUAAUAUACUGACACUGAUGGACGAAAGCGUGGGGAGCGAACAGGAUUAGAUACCCUGGUAGUCCACGCCGUAAACGAUGGUCACUAGCUGUUCGGGUUUCGAUCUGAGUGGCUAAGCGAAAGUGAUAAGUGACCCACCUGGGGAGUACGUUCGCAAGAAUGAAACUCAAAGGAAUUGACGGGGGCCCGCACAAGCGGUGGAGCAUGUGGUUUAAUUCGAUGAUACGCGAGGAACCUUACCAGGGCUUAAAUGUGGUCUGACAGCUUUAGAGAUAGAGUUUUCUUCGGACAAAUCACAAGGUGCUGCAUGGUUGUCGUCAGCUCGUGCCGUGAGGUGUCAGGUUAAGUCCUAUAACGAGCGCAA
Molecule: ribosomal RNA, 1093 nt
Filed under: uncultured Bacteroidota bacterium
Lineage: Bacteria; Pseudomonadati; Bacteroidota
Description: bacterial SSU rRNA
Rfam family: Bacterial small subunit ribosomal RNA
Source: RNAcentral